GUGCCAGCAGCCGCGGUAAUACCGGCAGCUCAAGUGAUGUCCGAUAUUAUUGGGCCUAAAGCGUCCGUAGCUGGCCGAGCAAGUCCCUCGGGAAAUCCACCCGCCCAACGGGUGGGCGUCCGGUAGAAACUGGACGGCUUGGGACCGGAAGGCUCAGAGAGUACGUCCGGGGUAGGAGUGAAAUCCCGUAAUCCCGGACGGACUACCGAUGGCGAAAGCACUCCGAGAAGACGGCUUCGACAGUGAGGGACGAAAGCCCGGGUCUCAAACCGGAUUAGAUACCCGAGUAGUCC
Molecule: ribosomal RNA, 293 nt
Filed under: uncultured bacterium
Lineage: Bacteria
Description: partial 16S ribosomal RNA
Rfam family: Archaeal small subunit ribosomal RNA
Source: RNAcentral